RNAcentral lists this ribosomal RNA (305 nucleotides) under uncultured bacterium. RNAcentral describes it as "bacterial SSU rRNA". It matches the Rfam family "Bacterial small subunit ribosomal RNA", at positions 335 to 657 of the family's 1533-position model. The record is from RNAcentral.
GCCCCUACGGGGGGCAGCAGUGGGGAAUAUUGCACAAUGGGGGGAACCCUGAUGCAGCGACGCCGCGUGAGUGAAGAAGUAUUUCGGUAUGUAAAGCUCUAUCAGCAGGGAAGAUAAUGACGGUACCUGACUAAGAAGCCCCGGCUAACUACGCGCCAGUAGCCGCGGUAAUACGUAGGGGGCAAGCGUUAUCCGGAUUUACUGGGUGUAAAGGGUGCGUAGGUGGCAGGGCAAGUCAGAUGUGAAAGCCCGGGGCCCAACCCCGGUACUGCAUUUGAAACUGUCCGGCUGGAGUGCCGGAGAGG